AGGGGCUUUUUAGGUUU
This 17-nucleotide transfer RNA is filed under the name Chenopodium album (lamb's quarters). RNAcentral's name for it is "partial tRNA-Thr". The record is from RNAcentral. Lineage: Eukaryota; Viridiplantae; Streptophyta; Magnoliopsida; Caryophyllales; Amaranthaceae. RNAcentral also lists the same sequence under 23 other names.